CCUGAACGCUGGCGGCGUGGCUAAGACAUGCAAGUCGUACGGAGCCGUAGCAAUACGGUUCAGUGGCGGACGGGUGAGUAAUGAAUCGCUAACGUACCCUCCUGUUUGGGAUAGCCAGCCGAAAGGCUGGGUAAUACCAGAUGAGACCACAGGUAGGCAUCUACCGGUGCUCAAAGGGAAACCGCAGGUGGAGCGGGCGAUUUCGUAUCAGGUAGUUGGUGAGGUAACGGCNCACCAAGCCGACGACGCGUAGCCGGGCUGAGAGGUCGGCCGGCCACAUUGGGACUGAGACACUGCCCAGACUCCGUACGGGGG
Molecule: ribosomal RNA, 315 nt
Filed under: uncultured bacterium
Lineage: Bacteria
Description: bacterial SSU rRNA
Rfam family: Bacterial small subunit ribosomal RNA
Source: RNAcentral